GGGAAUGUGGCUUUGUGGUAGAGUGCUUGCCUAGCAUGCAUGAAGCCCUGGGUUCGAUUCCUCAGUACCA
Non-coding RNA from Dipodomys ordii (Ord's kangaroo rat), 70 nucleotides. NCBI's taxonomy places the organism in Eukaryota, Metazoa, Chordata, Mammalia, Rodentia, Heteromyidae. The record is from Rfam.